This 253-nucleotide ribosomal RNA is filed under the name uncultured bacterium. Its description in RNAcentral is "partial 16S ribosomal RNA". It matches the Rfam family "Bacterial small subunit ribosomal RNA", at positions 524 to 776 of the family's 1533-position model. The record is from RNAcentral.
UACGGAGGGAGCUAGCGUUGUUCGGAAUUACUGGGCGUAAAGCGCACGUAGGCGGAUUGUUAAGUCAGGGGUGAAAUCCUGGAGCUCAACUCCAGAACUGCCUUUGAUACUGGCAAUCUUGAGUCCGGAAGAGGUGAGUGGAACUCCUAGUGUAGAGGUGGAAUUCGUAGAUAUUAGGAAGAACACCAGUGGCGAAGGCGGCUCACUGGUCCGGUACUGACGCUGAGGUGCGAAAGCGUGGGGAGCAAACAGG